Molecule: non-coding RNA, 21 nt
Filed under: Caenorhabditis elegans
Lineage: Eukaryota; Metazoa; Nematoda; Chromadorea; Rhabditida; Rhabditidae
Source: RNAcentral
UUCCGCUGAAAAAAUGACAAU